GUGGAUGUAGCUCAGUCGGUUAGAGCGCCAGAUUGUGGUUCUGGAGGUCGGGGGUUCGAUUCCCCUCAUCCACCCCA
This 77-nucleotide transfer RNA is filed under the name bacterium. RNAcentral's name for it is "tRNA-His". It matches the Rfam family "tRNA". From Rfam's summary of the family: Transfer RNA (tRNA) molecules are approximately 80 nucleotides in length. Their secondary structure includes four short double-helical elements and three loops (D, anti-codon, and T loops). Further hydrogen bonds mediate the characteristic L-shaped molecular structure. tRNAs have two regions of fundamental functional importance: the anti-codon, which is responsible for specific mRNA codon recognition, and the 3' end, to which the tRNAs corresponding amino acid is attached (by aminoacyl-tRNA synthetases). tRNAs cope with the degeneracy of the genetic code in two manners: having more than one tRNA (with a specific anti-codon) for a particular amino acid; and 'wobble' base-pairing, i.e. permitting non-standard base-pairing at the 3rd anti-codon position. The record is from RNAcentral. RNAcentral also lists the same sequence under 1 other name.